This 68-nucleotide transfer RNA is filed under the name Trichonephila inaurata madagascariensis. It matches the Rfam family "tRNA". Rfam says of the family: Transfer RNA (tRNA) molecules are approximately 80 nucleotides in length. Lineage: Eukaryota; Metazoa; Arthropoda; Arachnida; Araneae; Nephilidae. The record is from Rfam by way of RNAcentral.
GCAUCGGUGGUUCAGUGGUGAAUGCUCGCCUGCCACGCGGGCGGCCCGCUCGAUUCCCUGCCGAUGCA